GGAGAGGUACCCAAGUGGCUGAAGGGUCCGGCUUCGAAUACCGGUAGGGCGGUAAUACCGUCGCGGGGGUUCAAAUCCCCCUCUCUCCGCCA
RNAcentral lists this transfer RNA (92 nucleotides) under Candidatus Crickella equi. RNAcentral describes it as "tRNA-Ser". It matches the Rfam family "tRNA". Rfam says of the family: Transfer RNA (tRNA) molecules are approximately 80 nucleotides in length. Lineage: Bacteria; Bacillati; Bacillota; Clostridia; Peptostreptococcales; Anaerovoracaceae. The record is from RNAcentral.